GACGAACGCUGGCGGCGUGCUUAACACAUGCCAGUCGAACGGUGAUGCCCCAGCUUGCUGGAGUGGAUCAGUGGCGAACGGGUGAGUAACACGUGAGCAACCUGCCCCAGACUCUGGAAUAAGCGCUGGAAACGGCGUCUAAUACCGGAUACGAAACCGGCCCGCAUGGGCAUGGUUUGGAAAGUUUUUCGGUUUGGGAUGGGCUCGCGGCCUAUCAGCUUGUUGGUGGGGUAAUGGCUCACCAAGGCGACGACGGGUAGCCGGCCUGAGAGGGCGACCGGCCACACUGGGACUGAGACACGGCCCAGACUCCUACGGGAGGCAGCAGUGGGGAAUAUUGCACAAUGGGCGAAAGCCUGAUGCAGCGACGCCGCGUGAGGGAUGACGGCCUUCGGGUUGUAAACCUCUUUCAGCAGGGAAGAAGCGAGAGUGACGGUACCUGCAGAAGAAGCACCGGCUAACUACGUG
RNAcentral lists this ribosomal RNA (468 nucleotides) under uncultured bacterium. RNAcentral describes it as "partial 16S ribosomal RNA". It matches the Rfam family "Bacterial small subunit ribosomal RNA", at positions 28 to 507 of the family's 1533-position model. The record is from RNAcentral.